UAAAAAGAAUAAGUAUAUUAAAAUUAUGUAAUAAUAUAUAAUACUUAAUCUAAAAUACAUAAUAUAUCUUAUUCUUUUAAAUUUUCUAUUCUUAAUUUUUUUUCGAUCUAUGUAUUACAAAAUUUAGUGGAGAUUUAAUUAUUGAAACUCAAUUCCAAAAUAAUAACUUAAUCAUCAUCAUUAUUAAGAUUUUUUUUUUUUCAAUAUUAUAUUAUAUAAAUGUAUGAAUAAUUAAAUAAUAUAUUUGUAUAAUAUAUAAUAUAUUGGUAUUAAUAUCAAUAUAAAUAAUGGUUGUUGAAAGAGUAAAUUAAAUAAUAAUAAAAAUAAUAAUGCUUUAGAAACUUUUUAUUCAAUUAAUUAUUAUACUUGAGUAACAAUAUUUUUAAUCAAAAAAACAAAAAAAAAAAAAAAGAAAGCCGGUGAAAUACAUAUUGAAAAGAAUCAUAAAAAUAUUAUUAUUAUUAUUAUCACCAUCUUUACUUUUUUUUUUUUUUUUUUUUUUAAUUAAAAAUAAAAAAUAGGAUAUUGCUCAAGUAUUAAUAAUUCAUGAUAUUUUAUAAUAAACAACUAUUGUAAAAUGUGUUUAUAAAAUCAUCAAAAGGACUAAUAAUAACUUAAAGAAUAUGAAUAUUGCUAAUGAUUACAAGAACUAUUAAUCAGGUUUAUAAGAAAAUAAAUUAUUCAAAUUAAUAAUAAUAAUAAUAAUAAUAAUAAUAAUAAUAAUAGUGAUAUCAUACCAAUUGAUGAUUUGUAAGUGUAAAUAUGAAUAUAAAUGAAAUGAGUAAUGUGGGAAUAUGAAUAAUUUAUUAUAUUGAUAAUUGAAAAAAAAAAAAAACAAAUACAUGUAUAUUUAUUAUUUGUUUAUUCAGAAGGUAAUUAGUUUUUAUUUACCAUUAAAAUAAUUUACUGGCAUUUUUAGUAGUAAAUUAUAAAUCAAUUCAGUCAAAUUAAUAUUCUAGAUAAAGUAUUGAAUUAUUAUAUUACAAUUAGUAUGAGUGCUCAAGUUGUGGAAUGUAUUUAUCUAAUAUACUACAUAUGCUUGUGUUAAAUUUAAAUAAAAAAAAAAUAUAUCAUUAAAAAAAAGUUUUGUUUUGGUGUAAAAUAUUUUAAUUUAUGUAAAAUUAAUUAAUUAAUAAAAAUAAAUGUUUAUAAAUAUAAAUUAAUAAUAUUGAUUUUUAAAUCAUUUAAAUAUUUAUAUAAAGAAAAUAAUUUCUUAUUAUGAAUGGAAAAAAUUCAAUAAAUAUUAAUUUAUUAAUGUGGUUAUAUCUUGAUUAUUAUCUCAAUCUUUUCAAAUAAUGUACAAAAUUAUUAUAACAUGUGAUAUGAGUUUAAUAAUUAAUUUAUUUAAUUUAAAAAAAAAAAAAAGGAAAAUAGAAAAAAAAACUAUUAUGUUUGAUGUGUGUAUUAUUAUUGUAUAUGAUCAAUUAUGGAAAUAACAAAUAGAGGAAAUAAAAAAAAAAAUAAAACAUAUAGUUUCUUAUGACUUAUAUUAUGUAAUAUUUUUGAGUAAUGAAGAGUUAUUGUAAAUUAUUGUUGUGGAAUAAAUAAAAUAAUAAUAAUACAAUAAUAUCAAGCUUAUUUGUAUUAUUCUAAUAAUAGUACAAUAAUGAGAUAUUAUUAUUAUUAUUAUUAUUAUUAUUAUUAUUAUUAUUAUUAUUAUUAUUAUUAUCAUUAUUAUUAUUAAUUGGAUAAUUAUUAAAUAUUAUUUUUUGUAAACCAAGUAAUGUGUAAAAUAUGUUAUUAAUAAAAGGAAAUAAAAAAAUUUAAAAAAAAAAUGUGAAUAUAUCAAGUAUUGUUUGUGGUUUAAAUCAAGAUAAAUAAUAAUAAUCAUAAUAAAGAAGGAAAGAGAGAGAAAAAAAAAAAGAAGUGAUUGGUUAAAUAAUAUCAAACAUAAUAAUUAUUAAUAUUAUUAUUAUAUUUGUGGAAUAAAUAGUGUUUCAAGUGUUGUGAAAUAAGUAUUAUUGUUAAUUACAAGUGUAAAAGUAAAGAACAAUAUUAAUUUAAUAAAAAAAAUAAAAAAAAAAGAAUUAUGUAUUGUAUUAUGUUGUGUUAUGUUUUUUUAUGUUAUGUUGUUUUGUAAUUAGUGAGUGAAUUGUAAUGUUCUUGUGUAAUAUAUUAUUUAUGUGU
This 2127-nucleotide long non-coding RNA is filed under the name Cryptosporidium parvum. Lineage: Eukaryota; Apicomplexa; Conoidasida; Eucoccidiorida; Cryptosporidiidae. The record is from RNAcentral.